Molecule: ribosomal RNA, 2593 nt
Filed under: Triticum aestivum (bread wheat)
Lineage: Eukaryota; Viridiplantae; Streptophyta; Magnoliopsida; Poales; Poaceae
Description: partial small subunit ribosomal RNA
Source: RNAcentral
GGUGCAAUAGAGAAAGGGACAGGGGACACAGGAAGAGGAAGGGAAAGGGACACAGGAAAAAGAAAAGAGGGUUAGAAGGGGCCGACGGUACUUUCAAACUGGGCCGCUAGAGGAGGUCGCUCAGGGGAAGAAGAAGAGGCCGCUCGUGGGAGCUUCGGCUGGGGGCUCGGUUACAGGAGGUGAGCUAAAAGGACGACAGUUGACGUAGAGGAUAACGAAGUACCGCGGGCUUCGAUGUUUCCCGUACCGGCCGCUUCGACGCAGGUACUAGCCUCGACGCAGGUCCCGGCCACUUCAACGAAGGUACCAGCCUCGACGCAGGUACCGGCCGCGGUGCGUUAUGAUACUACGACACUGUCCUCCGGUGAGGGGACCGGUACCUAGAAAACAACAACGACCUUUGUCAUUUAAAAAAACGAUGGUGGCCCAACUAAAAAACGACCUUGAUCAUAAGUAAGAACAAUGGUGACAGAGACAAAAACAACCUUCGUUGUGUAAAAACGAUGGUGGCAUAAACUCAAAACGACUUUGCUCGCGAAUCAAAACGAUGUUGGCGGAAAAACUCAAAACGAUCUUGGUCGCUGGUGAGGGGCCGGUGCGACGGGUUUACACGAUGCUGGCCCCUGGUUGCCACGAUGUUGGCCAUUCGUUUAAACGAUGUAGGAAAAAAAAUACUGAAUCGACGCUGGGGGCUGCUGCCACUGCUUCAAAACGACGUAGACAGCAGGAAAAACGAUGCUGGCUACACUGCAAAACGACGUUGGUAAGUACUCACUGCUGCUGCGGCGCGGGACUCGGCGCUGCCGCUGCUGUGAAAACGACGUAGCUAGAAGUAAAAAAAGAUAGUGGCCGCAACUGCAAACGAGAUUGCAACCGAACAGUAACCUCCACCUCGACGUUUGUAAAAAAACCUUCCACCUCGACGACCUGCCACGAAGGAUGUUGUCGUUACCGCUGCCUAGUCCAUGGUCAUGUCGGUGCUGGAGGUGAAAAAAACGACACGAAGGUACCCGCACCCUUCCCUUCGAAGCGACCCUCUUAGCAAAGGCUACCCCCUUCUUCUAUUCCGGACUUGCCAACCUAGCCCGGUUCGGCUGCUGCUCGACGCCGGCAGCGGUGGCGUCGACAACGUACGCACCACAACCGGUUUUUACGUCCGCUGCUCACGCCGCUGGCCGCUGCUCCUACCGGCCGCUCCCGCUAUUGGCCGCUGCUCCUCCCGGCCGUUGGUACCGCUGGUCGUUCUCGCACGCCGGUCGGUCUACGCCUUAGUUCGCUGAUAUACGUCUUAGGUAGCAUCCCCGCACGCAACUGCUUUGUUGUCGACAUAGCUUGCCAAUAUGUACGUGGUUAGCCUACCAACGCCCGCCGGCCAGGCGGCCGCGGAUAGUGGGCGGAAGGAUAUGAAGCGGGUUGAGUGGGAAUGGGCCUGCGCCCGGGGCCAGAGAGUCAGCGGUGCCUUUAGUCCAGUCGAGCCGUCUAGGUCUCCUCUGCCUGCCGCUCGAGGGCUGCCGCUGGGGGCUGGCCAAGGGACAAACGUAGGCGAGCAGCAGCACGCGGCACACGGCGCCGGGCAAGCGGUUCCGGUACAAGCUCAAGGAUUUGACGUAGGCCUACGUGGUUCCUCUGUUCUUACCGUUUUUGUCACUUGACUUCAUACUGCGGGUUACACCGUACUCGUUUCCACACAAGCUUACCGUUACGGCAGUCAAACUCUUCCAUAGAUCAGCUUGUGGACUCAACUACGCGUUCUACUCCCGGUUACGUGUCUUCUACGCACAGGUGAAGUUCCUGUGACUUCUAGAGUUUUGCACCCUACGAAUACUUUCUUUACAAGAGAUACGUACACUUGUAAUGGAGUUUUGGAGAGAACGUUGUGGACGUCAAUGGGGCUUAAGACAAAACAUACUCCUAAAUUACUUCUCUUUUCGUAUAAGCUUCUGAGCAUCACCCGACGAUAGCUACCCUGACUUGUUCAAGUUUAUGACAUGUUCCUCGAAUUCCGAUCAGCGACGCCCACGACGAUAACCUGAACGACAACCUGAACCGCAACCGACCUUCGUUGUCUUCUAAUUCAUCGGUUCAUAGCGACAAUGACAUGGGUACCCAAUGUACUCAACUGUAAACUACAUUAUUUCAAUCUAGGAUCGCACUUAUGAUCCACAGUGAAUUAAUACAAUCGACGCUUGUCUCCUACAUUCUACACACAAUCGACCCUUGGCUCCUACCUUCUACUCCAUCAACUCUGCAUGAACAAGAGUCAAUAAAAUCGAGGCGCUCAUCGUAGAAUGAAAUAAAAUCUUGUGUACCGUUGCGUGGCUGCAAGAUCAAUACAACUAACAUUGACCGAAUUUUCACGCCCUGUCCUUAACAACACUCUUUAAUUAAUAAAAACGUACGAACAAAACGACAACUGGGGUACCCAGUAUGGCGGUGAGGUGCAGCCGUUACCUUUGUAGGUUCCGCAGACCGUGCUGGCCCACGUCAUCAUGGUCUCUCGUUGUCUUUGAGGUUGCAGUUCUGUUGCAGGUUAUGUUCGGUCUUUGAUCAUAUUGCGGGCACGCAACGGUGCCCGGACAUUAAGUAGUGCACC